UGCAGAAUCCCGUGAACCAUCGAGUAUUUGAACGCAAGUUGCGCCCGAAGCCUUUUGGCCGAGGGCACGUCUGCCUGGGUGUCA
Molecule: ribosomal RNA, 84 nt
Filed under: Mammea siamensis
Lineage: Eukaryota; Viridiplantae; Streptophyta; Magnoliopsida; Malpighiales; Calophyllaceae
Description: partial 5.8S ribosomal RNA
Rfam family: 5.8S ribosomal RNA
About the family: 5.8S ribosomal RNA (5.8S rRNA) is a component of the large subunit of the eukaryotic ribosome. It is transcribed by RNA polymerase I as part of the 45S precursor that also contains 18S and 28S rRNA. Functionally, it is thought that 5.8S rRNA may be involved in ribosome translocation.
Source: RNAcentral